Molecule: ribosomal RNA, 253 nt
Filed under: uncultured bacterium
Lineage: Bacteria
Description: partial 16S ribosomal RNA
Rfam family: Bacterial small subunit ribosomal RNA
Source: RNAcentral
GACGUAGGAGGCGAGCGUUGUCCGGAGUUACUGGGCGUAAAGCGCGCGCAGGCGGCCCUGUGCGCUGCCGGUGAAAGCUCCCGGCUUACCUGGGAGAGGUUCGGCAGGACGGCAGGGCUGGAGGGUGGGAGAGGUCGGUGGAAUUCCCGGUGUAGUGGUGAAAUGCGUAGAGAUCGGGAGGAACACCCGUAGCGAAGGCGGCCGACUGGACCACACCUGACGCUGAGGCGCGAAGGCCAGGGGAGCAAACGGG